GCAUCAGUGGUUUAGUGGUAAAAUCCAUCGUUGCCAUUCCACCAGAACUUCCUCUGGCAGAUGAUUCGAUGGGCCCCGCGUUCGAUUCGCGGCUGAUGCA
Non-coding RNA from Diatrype stigma, 100 nucleotides. NCBI's taxonomy places the organism in Eukaryota, Fungi, Ascomycota, Sordariomycetes, Xylariales, Diatrypaceae. The record is from the annotation of a GenBank genome assembly.